RNAcentral lists this ribosomal RNA (496 nucleotides) under uncultured bacterium. Its description in RNAcentral is "partial 16S ribosomal RNA". It matches the Rfam family "Bacterial small subunit ribosomal RNA", at positions 899 to 1397 of the family's 1533-position model. The record is from RNAcentral.
ACUCAAAGGAAUAGACGGGGGCCCGCACAAGCGGCGGAGCAUGUGGCUUAAUUCGAUGCAACGCGAAGAACCUUACCUGGGCUUGACAUGCGGGGUGAAGCCGUGGAAACACGGUCCUCUACGGAGCCCGCACAGGUGGUGCAUGGCUGUCGUCAGCUCGUGCCGUGAGGUGUUGCCUUAAGUGGCGCAACGAGCGCAACCCCUGUCCCUAGUUGCCAGCGGGUCAUGCCGGGAACUCUAGGGAGACUGCCGGUGCCAAACCGGAGGAAGGUGGGGAUGACGUCAAGUCAUCAUGCCCCUUAAGUCCAGGGCUGCACACAUGCUACAAUGCGCGGUACAGAGGGCUGCGAUCCCGCAAGGGGGAGCGAAUCCCAAAAAGCCGCGCUCAGUUCGGAUCGGGGUCUGCAACCCGACCCCGUGAAGUCGGAGUCGCUAGUAAUCGCAGAUCAGCAACGCUGCGGUGAAUACGUUCCCGGGCCUUGCACACACCGCCCGU